GAUGAACGCCGGCGGUGUGCCUAAUACAUGCAAGUCGAACGCGUUGGCCCAAUUGAUUGACGGUGCUUGCACCUGAUUGAUUUUGGUCGCCAACGAGUGGCGGACGGGUGAGUAACACGUAGGUAACCUGCCCAGAAGCGGGGGACAACAUUUGGAAACAGAUGCUAAUACCGCAUAACAACGUUGUUCGCAUGAACAACGCUUAAAAGAUGGCUUCUCGCUAUCACUUCUGGAUGGACCUGCGGUGCAUUAGCUUGUUGGUGGGGUAACGGCCUACCAAGGCGAUGAUGCAUAGCCGAGUUGAGAGACUGAUCGGCCACAAUGGGACUGAGACACGGCCCAUACUCCUACGGGAGGCAGCAGUAGGGAAUCUUCCACAAUGGGCGCAAGCCUGAUGGAGCAACACCGCGUGAGUGAAGAAGGGUUUCGGCUCGUAAAGCUCUGUUGUUAAAGAAGAACACGUAUGAGAGUAACUGUUCAUACGUUGACGGUAUUUAACCAGAAAGUCACGGCUAACUACGUGCCAGCAGCCGCGGUAAUACGUAGGUGGCAAGCGUUAUCCGGAUUUAUUGGGCGUAAAGAGAGUGCAGGCGGUUUUCUAAGUCUGAUGUGAAAGCCCUCGGCUUAACCGGAGAAGUGCAUCGGAAACUGGAUAACUUGAGUGCAGAAGAGGGUAGUGGAACUCCAUGUGUAGCGGUGGAAUGCGUAGAUAUAUGGAAGAACACCAGUGGCGAAGGCGGCUACCUGGUCUGCAACUGACGCUGAGACUCGAAAGCAUGGGUAGCGAACAGG
RNAcentral lists this ribosomal RNA (792 nucleotides) under uncultured Lactobacillus sp. Its description in RNAcentral is "bacterial SSU rRNA". It matches the Rfam family "Bacterial small subunit ribosomal RNA", at positions 28 to 776 of the family's 1533-position model. The record is from RNAcentral. Lineage: Bacteria; Bacillati; Bacillota; Bacilli; Lactobacillales; Lactobacillaceae.